CCUACGGGAGGCAGCAGUGAGGCAUAUUGGUCACUGGCCGUAAGGCUGAACCAGCCAAGUAGCGUGAGGGAAGACUGCCCUAUGGGUUGUAAACCUCUUUUAUGCGGGGAUAAAGGUGUCCACGUGUGGAGGUUUGCAGGUACAGCAUGAAUAAGGACCGGCUAAUUCCGUGCCAGCUGCCGCUGUACUACGGCAGGUCCGGGCGUUAUCCGGAUUUAUUGGGUUUAAAGGGAGCGUAGGCCGGUCUUUAAGCGGGCCGUGAAAUUUUGUGGCUCAACCAUGAGAGUGCGGCGCGAACUGGAGACCUUGAGUGCGCGGAAGGCAGGCGGAAUUCGGGGUGUAGCGGUGAAAGGCUUAGAUAUCACGAAGAACCCCGAUUGCGAAGGCAGCCUGCCGCAGCGUUACUGACGCGGAAGCUCGAAAGCGCGGGUAUCGAACAGGAUUAGAUACCCGGGUAGUC
RNAcentral lists this ribosomal RNA (460 nucleotides) under uncultured bacterium. Its description in RNAcentral is "partial 16S ribosomal RNA". It matches the Rfam family "Bacterial small subunit ribosomal RNA", at positions 338 to 795 of the family's 1533-position model. The record is from RNAcentral.